Molecule: long non-coding RNA, 419 nt
Organism: Halichondria panicea
Lineage: Eukaryota; Metazoa; Porifera; Demospongiae; Suberitida; Halichondriidae
Exons: 3
Source: RefSeq, a predicted model, not a curated record
ACGUGCAAUAUACAAUGCUAAACCACGUGGUGCUUCAAGAGAAACAGAAGAUAAGAAAUUGUGCAGUCAGUUUUGAAGCUCUGAGCAAGUGGUCAAACUAUUUGUCUGUAUUGGUGGAGGCUGAAGACAUGAGUCCAUGGACAGGGACUACUGAGGAACCUUCAUCAAGAACAAGGAAGUCCAUACGCUAACUGGCGAUGAUGGUUUGUCCUCUGACAUAAUCUCUGAGGAUGGCUCCACCCUCAACGCUAUAGGCCAUGCCCUCAUCCAGAUGCAGCAAGGUGGACAGACCACCCCCUCAUCUCAGUUCCUCAUCACUAGGAGCACCUCUUCUGGUUCAGAGUCUGGCCAAAAUGUGCUGAGAUACUGCAUGCAAUGGGUCGACCUAUAGCACCCAAGAUGAGCAGGAUAUCAACUAU